This 216-nucleotide ribosomal RNA is filed under the name Glomeromycotina sp. RNAcentral's name for it is "partial small subunit ribosomal RNA". The stretch from base 75 to 216 matches the Rfam family "Eukaryotic small subunit ribosomal RNA", at positions 721 to 864 of the family's 1831-position model. The record is from RNAcentral. Lineage: Eukaryota; Fungi; Glomeromycota.
GGGUCAGUAGGUUGGUCGUGCCACCGGUACGUACUGGUCUCACUGACUCCUCCUUCCUGAAGAACCGUAAUGCCAUUAAUUUGGUGUUGCGGGGAAACAGGACUAUUACUUUGAAAAAAUUAGAGUGUUUAAAGCAAGCUAACGCUUGAACACCUUAGCAUGGAAUAAUGAAAUAGGACGAUCGAUCCUAUUUUGUUGGUUUCUAGGAUUGACGUA